This 762-nucleotide long non-coding RNA is filed under the name Felis catus (domestic cat). Its description in RNAcentral is "lncRNA (ENSFCAG00000041474.2)". Lineage: Eukaryota; Metazoa; Chordata; Mammalia; Carnivora; Felidae. The record is from RNAcentral.
CGCCACCAAAACCUGCUUGACACAAUUAUAGCCACAUUUGCAUAACAGAGACUGAGAGCUCUCUUAGAAGGAGUGGUAAUUAGAUUCUCCAGUGAUUAGGGACACUUUCCAAAAGUGGGGAGAGGAGAUGGAAAUCCAACCUUGAAGUGGAAAAAGAAUAAACAGAACGGAACAGAGGGUGGCUAGCAGGUGGCAGGACAGGAGGGACAACAGACCAAGAAUCAAAUGGACUUGGGGCCUCCCCCUGCCCACAGUUCUCUGCACUCGGCUGCGACUGGGUUGAACGCCAGAGUCUCCUGGCUCCGAGCCCAGAGCAGCGGCCCCGCAGCAAUUGUCCUGAGGGAACGAGCCUCCGUGAGCCCGGAAUGGGUGCGUGCCAACUCUGGAAGGGCCAUCAAGGGAAGAGACCCCCGUGGGUCACCCCUACUCCUCACUAGGGCUCUGGAGAGCCACCAGUCAUCUGCUCACUCUCCCCCUUGGCGGGUCUCCUGUGACCAGAAGCUCCGGUCCCUGGACUGUGCAGGCAAGUGUUUAACCACCAGCUUUGAGGUGAGGGGAGUGCCUGAUCUGUAGGGCUUGCCAAUUGCCAAGGUGUCAACUCCCACGAUAGGCAUGUUCAAGACACCAAAUGCGGUGUGGCUGAAUGGGUGGCCAGGAAGGGAGGCACAGAGGCAUACUGUUACGUUGUAUUGUCAUCACACAGAUACAACAGACAUAAACAACCUCAAGAGCACAGGUAAUGAUAAAAUGUAGUGAAAGGAU